This 1112-nucleotide ribosomal RNA is filed under the name Pseudocrossocheilus longibullus. Its description in RNAcentral is "partial 16S ribosomal RNA". The stretch from base 182 to 1094 matches the Rfam family "Bacterial large subunit ribosomal RNA", at positions 568 to 2044 of the family's 2925-position model. Lineage: Eukaryota; Metazoa; Chordata; Actinopteri; Cypriniformes; Cyprinidae. The record is from RNAcentral.
CAGCUAGCUUAUACACCAAUAUAACCAAACAAUAUAAAUAAUAUAGAAUAGGCCAGACACCAAAACUUAAACCAUUCUUUUACCUGAGUAUGGGAGACAGAAAAGGUUCAACCAAAGCAAUAGAAAGAGUACCGCAAGGGAAAGCUGAAAGAGAAAUGAAACAACCCAUAUAAGUACUAAAAAGCAAAGACUAAACCUUGUACCUUUUGCAUCAUGAUUUAGCCAGUAAACACAAGCAAAGAGACCUUUAGUUUGAAACCCCGAAACCAGGUGAGCUACCCCGAGACAGCCUAUUAAGGGCCAACCCGUCUCUGUGGCAAAAGAGUGGGAAGAGCUCCGGGUAGAAGUGACAGACCUACCGAACCUGGUGAUAGCUGGUUGCCUAAGAAAUGGAUAGAAGUUCAGCCUCGUGUACCUCAAAUCAAAUAAGCACUAAUCAAGAUAGCAGGAGAAAAACACGAGAGUUAGUUGAAGGGGGUACAGCCCCUUUAACCAAGGAUACAACCUUAUCCAGGAGGAUAAAGAUCAUAAUAUAUAAAAUAUACUGUUCUAGUGGGCCUAAAAGCAGCCACCUAGAUAGAAAGCGUUAAAGCUCAGACAGGAAGAAGUUUAUUAUUCUGAUAAAAAAUCUUACUCCCCUAAAUACUAUUAGGCUAAUCCAUGCCCCCAUGGAAGAAAUUAUGCUAAAAUGAGUAACAAGAAGGCCCGCCCUUCUCCAAGCACAAGUGUAAGCCAAACCGGACCAACCAUUGGCAACUAACGAACUCAACCCAAGAGAGUAAUGUGAAUUAUAAAAAAAUCAAGAAAAAUCCACAACUAAACGAUCGUUAACCCCACACUGGAGUGUUAUUAAAGGAAAGACUAAAAGAAAAGGAAGGAACUCGGCAAACACAAGCCUCGCCUGUUUACCAAAAACAUCGCCUCCUGCGACACAACCAUGUAUAGGAGGUCCAGCCUGCCCAGUGACUACAAGUUCAACGGCCGCGGUAUUUUGACCGUGCAAAGGUAGCGCAAUCACUUGUCUUUUAAAUAGAGACCUGUAUGAAUGGCUAAACGAGGGCUUAACUGUCUCCCCUUUCAAGUCAGUGAAAUUGAUCUGCCCGUGCAGAAGC